RNAcentral lists this ribosomal RNA (541 nucleotides) under Aureobasidium proteae. Its description in RNAcentral is "partial 26S ribosomal RNA". The record is from RNAcentral. Lineage: Eukaryota; Fungi; Ascomycota; Dothideomycetes; Dothideales; Saccotheciaceae.
AUUACGCCAGCAUCCUAGCCGAAGCGCGGACCUCAGUCCCGGCUGGCCGUAUUACACCCUGGGCUAUAACACCUCCACCGAAGUGGAGGCCACAUUCCCAGAGCCUUUAUCCGGCCGCCGAAACUGAUGCUGGCCUGUCCAAACUGAGUAAACCGGUCAGAAGACCGGCCGAACAGUUUAAACAAGUCUGAUUGCAAGCGCUUCCCUUUCAACAAUUUCACGUGCUUUUUAACUCUCUUUCCAAAGUGCUUUUCAUCUUUCGAUCACUCUACUUGUGCGCUAUCGGUCUCUCGCCAAUAUUUAGCUUUAGAAGAAAUUUACCUCCCAUUUAGAGCUGCAUUCCCAAACAACUCGACUCGUCGAAGGAGAUUUACAUAGGGUGCCAUUUCCUGUCACAUACGGGAUUCUCACCCUCUAUGACGUCCUGUUCCAAGGAACUUAGACAGGCGGCUUCCCCAAAUCAUCCUCUACAAAUUACAAUGCGAACCCGAAGGCUAGCUUUCAAAUUUGAGCUGUUGCCGCUUCACUCGCCGUUACUAGG